Molecule: ribosomal RNA, 253 nt
Filed under: uncultured prokaryote
Description: partial 16S ribosomal RNA
Rfam family: Bacterial small subunit ribosomal RNA
Source: RNAcentral
UACGUAGGGUCCAAGCGUUAAUCGGAAUUACUGGGCGUAAAGCGUGCGUAGGCGGUCUCGCAAGUCCGAUGUGAAAUCCCCGGGCUUAACCUGGGAACUGCGUUGGAAACUACGAGGCUAGAGUGCGGCAGAGGGGGGUGGAAUUCCAGGUGUAGCAGUGAAAUGCGUAGAUAUCGGGAGGAACACCAGUGGCGAAGGCGGCUUCCUGGACCAGUACUGACGCUGAGGCGCGAAAGCUAGGGGAGCAAACAGG